AGAGCGUCCCCCGGGCGCUCCUCGGUGCGUUUUGCGGUGGAAGUUGCAGGAACAUUGCAGAGUUUUCGUGGCCGCUGAUGAUAAACGUCAUAAAACUGAGCCGACUGCUGUCAAGCGUUUCACUUAUGUAUCUUGCAUCACACUGAGCAAGGGAAGAAGGAAAUAUCCAUCCCAUUCUAGGGUCAAAAUACUUUAUGAAGUAACUUCCAUAAUCUAAUGUUACCCAUGGAGAACAGAAGAGGUUCUGAGUUCUGUUGACUAAAAUGUGGGCAUUGAGGAGAAGAUGGAGGACAGACCUCAUCACGGUCUACAACUUCUUCAAGUCAAGGGGAAGUGGAGGGACAGCAUCUAUCUCUUGACUCUGGUGAUUGUGUCCUCUUCAGGUGAGCUCCUAAAUGAGAUAAGCCAAGCAUUUCCUUCAGGAACAGCAAGUCCAGUUGCAGUGGAGUGAUUAAUCCACUUAAUCCAUGGACGUGAGAGAACCAUCUUUCUCAUCUAGGACCAAGCUGAAUGUAAUUUAGCUGCACAAUUGGUAAGCAAAAUGGAUGCAUUUUUGUUUAAAUGCUGAUGUUUCCAGUUAGCCAGUGCUAGCCAAUGCUGGCUUUGAACAUUCAGCUGUUGACCUCCCAGUGAAUUGCUGCACACUGUCUAACUGUGUCCUCCUUCAGCAUUCCCUGCUGAGAUGACCCACCAUCAUUCUUCCCAUAAUUAGCUUCUAAAGGUUAUUUUCAUCUCUAUGCUGAUGUGAAUAAAGUGUGUAAAUUUGCACCUGUUGAUUUCUGACAAUAGUGAAGCUUUUCCAGUAAUAUUUCUAACUUCAACUUUCAUCUUGUUUUCCAUGCAGAGUUUCACAAGGAUCUUUGGCAGCAUCAUAUCUCAAAGGCUUCACUUUUCUUUCAGCAGAAUUAGCUUUUCACAGUUUCUGCCUGGAGUUUGCUGUGGAAGUGACGGAGUUUCACCAACCAGGUUUUCAAAUAAUUCACAGUGUAGUUAUUUGCAGUUUAUCUUGAGGCAGGUGUAAAAAUUGCUGAAUUGCUGGGUUCAGCUCCAGUAAAUCCACAUUACCUUGAUUAAGCCAAUCUUUCAUUUCUUGGCAAUGAUCUCCUUUAUUAAACCUGCAUGAUCCUAUGUAAGUGAAUUCAGCUAUUGCAUAUCAGUUUGCCAUUAAUUAUAAUUUUGCUUAUGUCCUCUUUUAUAACUCAGUGCACAAUGUAUUUUCCUGCUGGUGUUAAUGAUUUAAUUUAAUCUGGUGGGGGUCAGCCAUCCAUGAGAGUAGAACUUUGGUGAAGGUACAUUAUUUUACCUGUGUUAAAACACUACCUAGGCAAGGAGACCAGAGGUAACACCCAAGAACACUAAGGAAAUACUUUGUUGGUUGCUCCAGUUGUCAGGAUAUGGGAUGUUGGAUUGUGAGUGAUUUUGCUCUUUGUGUAAUUUCAGGCAAUAUAUUUUUUUUUAGUUGAUUUCUUCUUGGAACAUCUUCCAUAUGCUAGAAUAUUUAAAGUGUAUUUUUAAAUAGUGACUGGCAAUCUGCAAAACACCAUUUUAGCAUGAAUGAGGUCAUAUGCUACUAAAAUACUACUUAUACGAGGACACUGAGAUGAAUUGAAAGUAGCACAGCUAAAAAGUGAAGGCAACAGGUGUUUUAUUAGAUUGCAGAUAUUGGCUUUUUUAACAUCUGUAGGAUAACUGCUACUUCAUCCUAAAACUUUUUGAAAAUUUGCAUGUUUCCACUACUGAAUAUCAGUAAGUCCCAGUGUUCCUAAUUUAGAGUGUAUUCCUUUAAGGUGUUUUUGACUAAUAAAAUGUGAUAUCCUCUUCUAGCACAUCACCAGUUUCAUAAAGUGAUGCAGGAUCAAAAGAAUUUUGGUUGGAUACCAGGAACCUGAUUACUAAGAGUAUUCUGAAAAAGGAACAGGACAGGCUGUGCUCCUACACAAAAACAAACAAACAAACAACAAAAACCACCCUGGAGUUAUCAGCGUUCUGUAAUUUUCACAGAGAUGACUGUAAAGUGUAUGUGCAGUCUGUCAGGAAGAAGUAUUUUUUGUAUUGCAAGAAAUUGGAGAGUAAUUUGUUUUGGUGCAAUUAUUUUAAUCACCUCUUUAGUAAGGAAGAAUUGUGAGAUUUAUCUCUACCCAAAUGCCUUGGACUAUUAAUUUGAGCAAGUCAACAAAGUGAAGCAUCCUGGACUUCAAUUUUCCCAUUGUUUAAAAUUGAUCUUCCCUAGUUUACCCUUAUAAAGUAAUUUAAAGAACUUUUUGAAAUAUGCUGUUUGAGUCCAUGUUGUUGAGAGUUUUAGCACAAUCAUCCCAAGAAUAGAUAGUUGAUAAUUACAGUCAAAUCAUUCAUCCUGAUGCUUCAGAUUUGAUCUCCUGUAUGCAGAAUGCUAUAACAGUCUCACAUUUUAAGAAUAUGCCACCUCCCAUAAAGCAGUAGUUUCAGGUGACUAAUCAUUGUGUAUAGCACAGAGCUGACAUUUAAAUGCAAAUCAGGGCCUUUUGCUUUGUGCAGUUUUGGAUCUCAGCCCACAGUUCAGAGGCAGAACACUUCACAGAAGCUUCACACAGUGUAACUGUGAACUGGGCUCUUCAGGACAAGAAAGAUUCAGAGCUCUGGAGAUGGUCCAGCAAAGGCCACAAAGAUGAUGAGGGUUCUGGAGCAUCUCUGAGGAGGAGAGACUGUGGGAGCUGGGCCUGUUUAGUCUGGAGCAGACUGAGAUGAGAUGAGAUGAGAUGAGAUGAGAUGAGAUGAGAUGAGAUGAGAUGAGAGAUCUCAAUAAUCCAUACAAUAUUUCCGGGGAGGAUGACAAGAAGAUUGUGCCAGGCUCUUGUCAGUGGUGCCCAGUGACAGGACAAGGAGCAAUGGCCAUAAACUGCACAAGAAGUUUUAUCCAAACAUGAAGAAGAACAUGGAGUUCCAUGGAGUGAGGCAGAGCACUGGAACAGGGAGCCCAGGAGUCUUGUGAAGUUUCCCUCUCUGGAGACAUUCCAAACCCACCUGGAUGCAUUCCUGUGUCACCUGCUCCAGUGACCCUGCCUUGGCAGGAGGGGUUGGGCAGGGUGAUCUCCAGAGGUCCCUUCCUAAAAGCUCUGUGUUCCAUGAGUCUGUGAAAAAUACAGAUUUAACUAGAAACAGUAAAAUUAAAAAAACCCACAUGGAUGUAGUGGCUACAACACAUAAAAUGAUGAUCUAUGUAAUUUGCAAGUGCACAUGCUAUUUAAAGUGAGUGCAACUGAAGUGUCAGUGUGGAAACGUGGAGUGUCAGAGCCAUCUGGAAAAAAGGACCCUGCCCUUUUCAGACAUCAUUUAUGCCCAAGACCCUUGCUGUCAUGGCUACUGGAAGUUUUGCCUGUCUUAAGAUUUCACAUAGAGAGCCUUUCUUAGGCUUUACUGUAAUGGCAUGUAAUGAAAGUACGAAUACUAUCUGAAUAUCAUUUGUCCAUACAAAGCAAUAUCUUAUGACCUGGGGAAAACUCUGGCUCUGUGAAAACUGAUGCAGAAUAUUUUUUGUGACUCCAUUGGAGCCAGGAUUUUCUGUAUCUUCCAAUACUUUCACAGUAAUUGGAUGUGGAGCUGGACAUCAAUAAUAAUGAGCAGAUAAUAUUGAGCUGUAGAAUGUUAUUUGCUGUAAUGGUUGUGAUCAGAGGCAAAUCUGUCUUCUGCCCCUUCCAAAGGAGCCCUCAGUCUUUUCAGAAACACAUUGAGAGAAGAGAAAAUGGUCAGUUCAGUCAUAGGUGCAGUCCAGCUUUCCACCAGCUGUGUGGGCCAGAGCUAAGAAAUCCCACUGCAGUUAAAGACAGCCUCAAGGGAUACUUGACUAAUGGUGUAGCUGUCCAAUGCCUCCCCACGUCAUUCCUGGAGUAA
Passer domesticus (house sparrow) is the source of this 3867-nucleotide long non-coding RNA. RefSeq lists it as uncharacterized. Lineage: Eukaryota; Metazoa; Chordata; Aves; Passeriformes; Passeridae. The transcript has 4 exons. The record is from RefSeq and is a predicted model, not a curated record.